This 493-nucleotide long non-coding RNA is filed under the name Vitis vinifera (wine grape). RNAcentral's name for it is "long non-coding RNA (VVIN_LNC007430)". The record is from RNAcentral. Lineage: Eukaryota; Viridiplantae; Streptophyta; Magnoliopsida; Vitales; Vitaceae.
GUCCUUCCACCCAAAGAGUUAUUUUAUUUAGUACACUACUACUCCAGUACUCCUCUUGAGAAGGACUUUAUUUAGCAAAACGAGGUCUCUAGCACCGCUCAAGCGCCUGCAAUGAAAGGAUCCUUUCGAAAGUGCACGAGCUGGUUAUGAGUCGUGGAAUUCGGAAGCUCCUGCCGAACAUAUGCCUGGUAGGAGUUCGACGUGCAGGAGUCCGUGGCUGCAAGACUGAUUAUCCAAAUCUUUUCGUCUAGUUCUGGUAUGCCUAUGACCCAUGCGUAAACCACCCACUCAGAUUUCAGGUUAUUUCCAGUAAGAAGGUCGUACUCUUUCACGGCCCAUUUUGCCAAGGCUAUCACACGUCAUCGUGCUUUGUAUCCGGGUACACGUCAUCGUUCCUUUGAGUUGCACUUGAACCACAGUCCGACCUGUGGAGACUCGUCAAAGUCGUGGGUUUUGGAUGGGUUUUUGUGGAGGUGUGGUGGUACAUGUUGGG